RNAcentral lists this ribosomal RNA (816 nucleotides) under uncultured beta proteobacterium. Its description in RNAcentral is "bacterial SSU rRNA". It matches the Rfam family "Bacterial small subunit ribosomal RNA", at positions 66 to 880 of the family's 1533-position model. Lineage: Bacteria; Pseudomonadati; Pseudomonadota; Betaproteobacteria. The record is from RNAcentral.
ACGGUAACGGUCUUCGGAUGCUGACGAGUGGCGAACGGGUGCAGUAAUACAUCGGAACGUGCCCAGUAAUGGGGGAUAGCUCGGCGAAAGCCGGAUUAAUACCGCAUACGCCCUGAGGGGGAAAGUGGGGGACCGCAAGGCCUCACGUUAUUGGAGCGGCCGAUGGCUGAUUAGCUAGUUGGUAGGGUAAAGGCCUACCAAGGCGACGAUCAGUAGCUGGUCUGAGAGGACGAUCAGCCACACUGGGACUGAGACACGGCCCAGACUCCUACGGGAGGCAGCAGUGGGGAAUUUUGGACAAUGGGGGAAACCCUGAUCCAGCAAUGCCGCGUGUGCGAAGAAGGCCUUCGGGUUGUAAAGCACUUUUGUCAGGGAAGAAAUCCUUUGGGCUAAUACCCUAGGGGGAUGACGGUACCUGAAGAAUAAGCACCGGCUAACUACGUGCCAGCAGCCGCGGUAAUACGUAGGGUGCAAGCGUUAAUCGGAAUUACUGGGCGUAAAGCGUGCGCAGGCGGUUGUGUAAGACAGGUGUGAAAUCCCCGGGCUUAACCUGGGAAUUGCAUUUGUGACUGCACGACUAGAGUGUGUCAGAGGGGGGUGGAAUUCCACGUGUAGCAGUGAAAUGCGUAGAUAUGUGGAGGAACACCAAUGGCGAAGGCAGCCCCCUGGGAUAACACUGACGCUCAUGCACGAAAGCGUGGGGAGCAAACAGGAUUAGAUACCCUGGUAGUCCACGCCCUAAACGAUGUCCACUAGUUGUUGGGGAUUUACUUCCCUGGUAACGUAGCUAACGCGUGAAGUUGACCGCCUAGGGAG